AUGGUCAUGACUACAAUGAGACAUUUGCUCCUAUAUAUAUGGCCCACACGACCACUCUUCGCACACUUCUCAAUGUGGCUUCUAUUCGCCGCUAGUCUGUCUCUCAGCUUGAUGUCAAGAAUGCCUACAAGUAGCCACCACCCGGGUUCUCUUCCUGAUGGCAUGGUUUGUCGUCUUCGUCACUGUCUAUAUGGCCCUGAGCAAACCCCUCGUGCCUGGUUUGAGCUCUUUUUCUCAAUGGUGAUUGCGGCUGGUUUUUGGCGAGUGAUCAUGAUCCUGCACUUCCAAUCCACCAUUCAACUCGUGGUUGAACACUUCUUCUACAUGUCAAUCAUCACUGGCGACGACUCUUAA
This 354-nucleotide ribosomal RNA is filed under the name Triticum aestivum (bread wheat). RNAcentral describes it as "partial small subunit ribosomal RNA". The record is from RNAcentral. Lineage: Eukaryota; Viridiplantae; Streptophyta; Magnoliopsida; Poales; Poaceae.